UACAGAGGGUGCAAGCGUUGUUCGGAAUUACUGGGCGUAAUGGGCGCGUAGGCGGUUCUGUAAGUCCCGCGUGAAAUCCCCCGGCUCAACUGGGGAACUGCGUGGGAAACUGUGGGGCUAGAGUUCAGGAGAGGGAAGCGGAAUUCCGGGUGUAGCGGUGAAAUGCGUAGAUAUCGGAAGGAACAUCAGUGGCGAAGGCGACUUUCUGGACAGAUACUGACACUGAGGCACGAAAGCGUGGGGAGCAAACAGG
RNAcentral lists this ribosomal RNA (253 nucleotides) under uncultured bacterium. RNAcentral describes it as "partial 16S ribosomal RNA". It matches the Rfam family "Bacterial small subunit ribosomal RNA", at positions 524 to 776 of the family's 1533-position model. The record is from RNAcentral.